Molecule: ribosomal RNA, 1554 nt
Filed under: Escherichia coli O55:H7 str. TB182A
Lineage: Bacteria; Pseudomonadati; Pseudomonadota; Gammaproteobacteria; Enterobacterales; Enterobacteriaceae
Description: bacterial SSU rRNA
Rfam family: Bacterial small subunit ribosomal RNA
Source: RNAcentral
UUAAAUUGAAGAGUUUGAUCAUGGCUCAGAUUGAACGCUGGCGGCAGGCCUAACACAUGCAAGUCGAACGGUAACAGGAAGAAGCUUGCUUCUUUGCUGACGAGUGGCGGACGGGUGAGUAAUGUCUGGGAAACUGCCUGAUGGAGAGGGAUAACUACUGGAAACGGUAGCUAAUACCGCAUAACGUCGCAAGACCAAAGAGGGGGACCUUUGGGCCUCUUGCCAUCGGAUGUGCCCAGAUGGGAUUAGCUAGUAGGUGGGGUAACGGCUCACCUAGGCGACGAUCCCUAGCUGGUCUGAGAGGAUGACCAGCCACACUGGAACUGAGACACGGUCCAGACUCCUACGGGAGGCAGCAGUGGGGAAUAUUGCACAAUGGGCGCAAGCCUGAUGCAGCCAUGCCGCGUGUAUGAAGAAGGCCUUCGGGUUGUAAAGUACUUUCAGCGGGGAGGAAGGGAGUAAAGUUAAUACCUUUGCUCAUUGACGUUACCCGCAGAAGAAGCACCGGCUAACUCCGUGCCAGCAGCCGCGGUAAUACGGAGGGUGCAAGCGUUAAUCGGAAUUACUGGGCGUAAAGCGCACGCAGGCGGUUUGUUAAGUCAGAUGUGAAAUCCCCGGGCUCAACCUGGGAACUGCAUCUGAUACUGGCAAGCUUGAGUCUCGUAGAGGGGGGUAGAAUUCCAAGUGUAGCGGUGAAAUGCGUAGAGAUCUGGAGGAAUACCGGUGGCGAAGGCGGCCCCCUGGACGAAGACUGACGCUCAGGUGCGAAAGCGUGGGGAGCAAACAGGAUUAGAUACCCUGGUAGUCCACGCCGUAAACGAUGUCGACUUGGAGGUUGUGCCCUUGAGGCGUGGCUUCCGGAGCUAACGCGUUAAGUCGACCGCCUGGGGAGUACGGCCGCAAGGUUAAAACUCAAAUGAAUUGACGGGGGCCCGCACAAGCGGUGGAGCAUGUGGUUUAAUUCGAUGCAACGCGAAGAACCUUACCUGGUCUUGACAUCCACGGAAGUUUUCAGAGAUGAGAAUGUGCCUUCGGGAACCGUGAGACAGGUGCUGCAUGGCUGUCGUCAGCUCGUGUUGUGAAAUGUUGGGUUAAGUCCCGCAACGAGCGCAACCCUUAUCCUUUGUUGCCAGCGGUCCGGCCGGGAACUCAAAGGAGACUGCCAGUGAUAAACUGGAGGAAGGUGGGGAUGACGUCAAGUCAUCAUGGCCCUUACGACCAGGGCUACACACGUGCUACAAUGGCGCAUACAAAGAGAAGCGACCUCGCGAGAGCAAGCGGACCUCAUAAAGUGCGUCGUAGUCCGGAUUGGAGUCUGCAACUCGACUCCAUGAAGUCGGAAUCGCUAGUAAUCGUGGAUCAGAAUGCCACGGUGAAUACGUUCCCGGGCCUUGUACACACCGCCCGUCACACCAUGGGAGUGGGUUGCAAAAGAAGUAGGUAGCUUAACCUUCGGGAGGGCGCUUACCACUUUGUGAUUCAUGACUGGGGUGAAGUCGUAACAAGGUAACCGUAGGGGAACCUGCGGUUGGAUCACCUCCUUACCUUAAAGAA